Molecule: long non-coding RNA, 117 nt
Organism: Syngnathus acus (greater pipefish)
Lineage: Eukaryota; Metazoa; Chordata; Actinopteri; Syngnathiformes; Syngnathidae
Exons: 3
Source: RefSeq, a predicted model, not a curated record
AUGAGUUAAUAGUUACUUAUGAGUUACCUUUGGUUUAGAUUCUUAGUGAAAUUUAUUUAAGCAUGUCCUGUUUAUGUGAAGCAUGAUCCACACGGGAACCUAAAAGAAACUCUGUAU